This 995-nucleotide long non-coding RNA is filed under the name Coturnix japonica (Japanese quail). RNAcentral's name for it is "lncRNA (ENSCJPG00005015620.1)". Lineage: Eukaryota; Metazoa; Chordata; Aves; Galliformes; Phasianidae. The record is from RNAcentral.
UAAUCUUCUUUUGCUUAGUAUGUUACCUUGGUACAUUGCAAGCUGAGAUUCUUUCAGUCUAUUUUCUUGUCUGUCUUUUAUUCUGAGAAUUAUGAAGUUAAUGCUUCUCUUGUUUCCUUAUAGGGGCGAAGUCCUGGCUUCACCAAUGUCAACGCUUGUGUUGACUAAAGGAGAACUUGAAUCCUUCUUAGAAGAGGAGAUGGGCAGGGUGCCAUCAGCUGGGUCUCCCUAACAGCAUGAGAGAUGGCGACACAUCUUGUGUUUGCAGCAAAGGCUGCUUUGGCUUACGUCUGUCCGGCUAGCAAAACAGCAAGCUGCCAAAAACAACAGUCCAAGUGAAAACAGAGUAAUAACACCAGCAGCGUGGGAGACAGCAGCCAAGGAGGAACACACGAGCCCCAGAGAACAGGCCAUCAAUUUUCUUGCUGUGGCUGGCUGGAGGAAACUGAAAUGUAUAUUGCAGUGGCUUCUGACGCCAGCCACUGCUUUAUGCUCCACACUUCGGACUCUAAAUAUGUUACCCUAAAAAUGAAGCAAAAAAUUCCCCAAGCUAUUAAUAGAUUUGUAUAAAGAAAUCCCUUGUAGUUUCUAAUCAUUUACAUCUGGGACUGAGAAACCAACCAUAAAAUGUCAGUAUGGCUAUUACAUGGGUCACUGGAACAGGUUUAUGUUAGCUAAUAUGCUGAAACAGUAGAUUAGGAAGAGGAUAGUUUAUGGUCUUUAGUUCAUUUGUUGACAGGAAGAAUCAGGAGCAGAUUUGUUUUAUGCCUGAACCCAUCACGGAACAACUAGGAACAGAACAGUGAUUAAAAUCCAGGCAACAGAAAUAGGAUAACGACUAGGCUGCAUAUAUAUUACUGUGGGUAAACUAGAUGUUUGUGAAGGGAAGGAGCUAAUGAGAUCACAGAAAUCAGCAGAGCAGAGCAGAGGGCUCCUGUGCAGCCCUCUGAAGUGACUCAGCAAAGUACAAUUGCUUGGCAUCCCAUUGCAGAGCU